This 72-nucleotide transfer RNA is filed under the name Ornithorhynchus anatinus (platypus). It matches the Rfam family "tRNA". Rfam says of the family: Transfer RNA (tRNA) molecules are approximately 80 nucleotides in length. Their secondary structure includes four short double-helical elements and three loops (D, anti-codon, and T loops). The record is from Rfam by way of RNAcentral. Lineage: Eukaryota; Metazoa; Chordata; Mammalia; Monotremata; Ornithorhynchidae.
AACAGUGUGGCUUAGUGGCAAGAGCAUGACCUUGGGAGUUAGAGGUUGUGGGUUCUAAUCCCACCUCUGUCA